Long non-coding RNA from Felis catus (domestic cat), 2646 nucleotides. RefSeq lists it as uncharacterized. The transcript is spliced from 3 exons. The record is from RefSeq and is a predicted model, not a curated record. Lineage: Eukaryota; Metazoa; Chordata; Mammalia; Carnivora; Felidae.
ACCGAGGUUGGAUUAACCAACGGAGCCACCCAGGCGCCCCUAUUCAUUUGUUUUAUUGCAGCAUUAUCUACAACAGCCAACAUAUGGAAACGACCUAAGUGUGCACAGACAGACGAAUGGGCAAGGAACAUAUGCUACACACACACACAUACGCGUGCACACACUGGAAUAUUACUCAGCCAUAGAAAGAAUGAGGCCCGCCAUCUGUGACGGCAGGGAUGGUUCUGGAGCGUAUUAUGCUCGGCGAAAUAAGCCAGAUCAAGGAUUCUCACCUAGAAAGUUACCUGCCUCCGGGGUGUAGACUGGGGGCACUUACAUGACACUGAGUGAUAUUCACUGGAGGGAGUUUAAAGGGUCAAAUAAAGGGGCCACGAAUCACUUGCUGUUGUCACACGUGCACCGGACAUCCUUGGAUGAACAGGAGGCCUACUGAGCAGGAACUGUGCUCGUAAGUAACAACGCCAGUAAGCGCCCCGACUGGUUUCUUCCGGAGUCUCCAUGGGCAUCCAGCCUGAUGACCACCGAGGGUGUUCGUGUGGCCUGCACACGCCGACGUGGAUUGUGCCUUCACGGGACACUGAUGGGCCUUCAGAUUUUUCUUAUUAUUUUAAGUUUGGAGACGGACCAAGAACCAUCUUUGCCACAAGGCUGGGUUGAGGCCCCAGGGAAGAAGACAAAGUGAGGACGCCCCCGGUCUCUUCCCCCUCUUUGUGUCUGCCCUCCAGGCUGCGUGCGCUUGCUCUGUGUCGUUACUGAUUUCCGACACUUUGUCAGGUAACGUCUCCGGGUUGUGGACGUUUGCAAGUACCGUCCGGAGAUCUGACUCAAGCCCGCGGGCCCGUGCCAGGACCUGGCCGUGUCCGGCCGCCGAGCUCUCCGCAGGGAGUCUGCUGCCCAGUUAUUUUUGAUGUCGCCGUUCCCUCCUCCCAGAAUUGGGACUGGGUCUGUCCGUUCUCCGAGGAGCCUCCGCUCCUCCACCAAAGGCUCUUGACGGCUCCCUCCCGUCAGCAGGAAGGCACCGGCAGCGCCACCCAGGGCUGUCAGUGGUCGACCAGCACUCCGGUCCUCGGGGCGGUUCUCGGGUCCACGUCUCCACCUUCGCCUGGACGAUGUCUGACCGUGCCCCAGGCUCCAGGAAAGUCUCACCUCCUCCUUCUCGUGUCUCUGAGCCCCGCGACCCCUCACCAUGUCCCUCCACGGACGGUGAGCUCCGUGAGUACGGGUGUCUGUCACCUUUGCUGCCCCGGGGCCGGUGCCCGGCUCCCAAGGGGGCGUUCGGUGAUGGUGCAAGAUCGAACAAAUGGGUAAGUGAGGGGAGACGGCCCACGUGCAGCCUUCUCCCUGGGCCGUUUUCUCCUCUCCUUGCCCGGCACUCAUCCCCCUGACGUGACCGCUCCCUGCCGUGAGAGCUCAGGAUGCUUCACCUGUUUCUCACCCCUCAGGCAGCACAUUCUCGGGUACAUGUCCUCGGGCACCUGGGCCCCACUGGGAGCCCUUUGAAGGGGAGCUAUGUCUUAGCUGUCUUGUAACCGCUGGAGCCACAGCAGUUCUUGGCCACGGUGGACAUUUGGUUAGUGGUUCCGGAACAGACGGGCAAGAGAUGAAUGCAAAAGUACCAGGUGCUUUGAUCAGAGGCUCAGUGAAGUUCAUGUGACGCUCAGCCCACAUUCUCCGCGUGCGUGUGCACUGGGCACGUGUGUGCAUACACUCGUGGAUGCCGUGAGCUCUUGGAGUAAGAUUCCUGUUAACCCGCUAAAUGUGACGGAAGAGAGAUCUGGCAUUAUUGUAGAAUGGCACAACUUUCUGUCCUAAGUUCUCGGCUCCUGGGGACAUGUGGGAGGAGGGAGGCAGGCUGACCGUGGCUCACCACCCACCUUUUGGGUUCCACAGUCCUCUGCCUCCAAGAUUAAACCCGCAAACGUCAUCCUCGAAGCCGUGUAUGAAAGUCAAAGCCCUCAAGCCUGGAUCCAGAGGUGGUUCCACGGAGGCGAACACAUGGUUAAGCCAAACCCAGAGAACGGGGGGCACAGACGCGGGCCCUGCGCCUUCCCGCCCCGUGGAGAACGGCUUCAUGAUUGCACGUUGCUGGUGAGUGCCCCCUGCGUGGCCCCCUGCAUGAUGCGGCCUGGCCGCCAGCUGUUGACCGAAGCCUGGGAAGGACAUCGGCACCACCCUGCCCUCCCAGAGCUGCCGGGGACAGCGAGGCGAGCAGGCCAGGAUCGGGCACCUUCCCGUCGCUCUUGUCUGCGGCUCACAGGGCAGUGGGACCGACAGACCGCCCACUGACGGGCCCGGUGGGCAGGACGCCCCGGGAGGAGGUGGCCUGGCCCCUCGGUCCCGCGGGCUUCUGGUCUGGUUAGUGCCGGCCGUGCGGCUGUCUCCACAGAGGCUCUCAGAGCCUGUGUCCACAUCCCUGCGUCCCCUCAGAGCCUUGAGGUCCCCGGCGAAGGCAUACGGCAGCCAGGCCUUCUGUGCCAUCACGGGGGACAGUCCUACACUCUGCUCCUUGUGUCUGCCUUUCUGGGCGAGAUUUCUUUUGAAGAAAGGAAUCUGAAUCUGAGGCUAAAGAAACGUCUGGAAACCCCUACUUUAGUUUCAGAUGGCUGCUGUAUACUUACUGGGCUAAAAUAAACGCUGUUUGCUCCA